CCAGAGAUGGAUUGGUGCCGUUCGGGAACUCUGACACAGGUGCUGCAUGGCUGUCGUCAGCUCGUGUCGUGAGAUGGUUGGGUUAACGUCCCGUAACGAGCGCAACCCUUGUCCUUAGUUACCAGCACGUUAUGGUGGGCACUCUAAGGAGACUGCCGGUGACAAACCGGAGGAAGGUGGGGAUGACGUCAAGUCAUCAUGGCCCUUACGGCCUGGGCUACACACGUGCUACAAUGGUCGGUACAAAGGGUUGCCAAGCCGCGAGGUGGAGCUAAUCCCAUAAAACCGAUCGUAGUCCGGAUCGCAGUCUGCAACUCGACUGCGUGAAGUCGGAAUCGCUAGUAAUCGUGAAUCAGAAUGUCACGGUGAAUACGUUCCCGGGCCUU
This 386-nucleotide ribosomal RNA is filed under the name uncultured Pseudomonas sp. Its description in RNAcentral is "bacterial SSU rRNA". It matches the Rfam family "Bacterial small subunit ribosomal RNA", at positions 1000 to 1382 of the family's 1533-position model. The record is from RNAcentral. Lineage: Bacteria; Pseudomonadati; Pseudomonadota; Gammaproteobacteria; Pseudomonadales; Pseudomonadaceae.